GGGUUAAGGUCCUGGCUGCCAUUUAAUUUGACCUUGGGUAAAGGCAAGAUCUGACUCUGCAUGACUAGCUCGGUCGCCUCUCCUGGUCCCAGCCUUGCUGAGUCCAUCAUCCCCAGAACUGAUGUGGAACACAGGAAGCAUGGGCUACAGUGCCCAGUAGACAAAGAUUCCAUUCUGCUGUUUACCAUCUGACUUUACGGAAGGGGGAGAACUUCAGGAGCCUUGUCUGGUUAUGCUGUAUCCCCUGCUUGAGACCCUGUCCUUCAAAAACAACCAAGCUAAGUCUCAACAAAGGACAGCUUUUUUUGAGCUUGAUUGAAAGCCAAACUCCCCUCACUGAACUGUCCAUGUAUGCACACCAUGAC
Molecule: long non-coding RNA, 365 nt
Organism: Neogale vison (American mink)
Lineage: Eukaryota; Metazoa; Chordata; Mammalia; Carnivora; Mustelidae
Exons: 3
Source: RefSeq, a predicted model, not a curated record